This 336-nucleotide ribosomal RNA is filed under the name Pseudofrankia sp. EUN1h. RNAcentral's name for it is "bacterial SSU rRNA". It matches the Rfam family "Bacterial small subunit ribosomal RNA", at positions 1 to 354 of the family's 1533-position model. Lineage: Bacteria; Bacillati; Actinomycetota; Actinomycetes; Frankiales; Frankiaceae. The record is from RNAcentral.
UGGAGAGUUUGAUCCUGGCUCAGGACGAACGCUGGCGGCGUGCUUAACACAUGCAAGUCGAGCGGACCUUCGGGUCAGCGGCGAACGGGUGAGUAACACGUGGGCAACCUGCCCCAGGCUCUGGAAUAACUCCGGGAAACCGGGGCUAAUGCCGGAUAUUCACACCUUUGGGCAUCUGGUGGUGUGGAAAGAUUUAUUGGCUUGGGAUGGGCCCGCGGCCUAUCAGCUUGUUGGUGGGGUAAUGGCCUACCAAGGCGACGACGGGUAGCCGGCCUGAGAGGGCGAUCGGCCACACUGGGACUGAGACACGGCCCAGACUCCUACGGGAGGCAGCAG